AUCGAGGUGGAGAGUGGCGAAAGGGUGAGUAACGCGUGAGCAAUCUACCUCUAAGUUCGGAAUAACCCCGCGAAAGUGGAGCUAAUACCGGAUGUGGUACCUCGUCGCAUGGCGAGGCUAUUAAAGGUGGGGAUCCUUCGGGACCUGCUGCUUGGAGAGGAGCUCGCGUCCCAUCAGCUUGUUGGUAGGGUAACGGCCUACCAAGGCAUACGGGUAGCCGGCCUGAGAGGGUGACCGGCCACACUGGGACUGAGACACUGCCCAGACUCCUACGGGAGGCUGCAGUCGAGGAUCAUUCGCAAUGCGCGAAAGCGUGACGAUGCGACGCUGCGUGGAGGAUGACGGCCCUAGGGUUGUAAACUCCUGUCAUGAGGGAACAGCCGGCAAAGGGAUAAUACCCCUUCGCUCCGAUGGUACCUCAAGAGGAAGCCACGGCUAACUCUGUGCCAGCAGCCGCGGUAAUACAGAGGUGGCGAGCGUUGUUCGGAUUUACUGGGCGUAAAGGGUGCGUAGGUGGUUUCGUAUGUCGGAUGUGAAAGCCCGGGGCUCAACCCCGGAACUGCAUUCGAAACUGCGGGACUAGAGUACAGGAUGGGAGAGCGGAAUUCUUGGUGUAGCGGUGAAAUGCGUUGAGAUCAAGAAGAACACCGGCGGCGAAGGCGGCUCUCUGGAAUGUUACUGACACUCAUGCACGAAAGCUGGGGUAGCAAACAGGAUUAGAUACCCUGGUAGUCCCAGCUGUAAACUGUGUGCACUUGGUGUUGGCGGUAUUGACCCCGCCAGUGCCGGAGUUAACGCGUUAAGUGCACCGCCUGAGGAGUACGAUCGCAAGGUUAAAACUCAAAGAAAUUGACGGGGGCCCGCACAAGCGGAGGAGCAUGUGGCUUAAUUCGAUGCAACGCGAAGAACCUUACCUGGGUUUGACAUCGGAGAGGCUUGCCUCUAGCGCGUGAAAGCGCGUUAACCAGACAGGUGCUGCAUGGCUGUCGUCAGUUCGUGCCGUGAGGUGUUGGGUUAAGUCCCGUAACGAAAGCAAUCUUUAUGUUUAGUUGCCACCCCCGAGCAAUCGGGGGGCAGUUUAGACAGACUUCCGGUUCAAGCGGGAGGAAGUUGGG
This 1115-nucleotide ribosomal RNA is filed under the name uncultured organism. RNAcentral describes it as "bacterial SSU rRNA". It matches the Rfam family "Bacterial small subunit ribosomal RNA", at positions 82 to 1177 of the family's 1533-position model. The record is from RNAcentral.